GACGAACGCUGGCGGCGUGCCUAACACAUGCAAGUCGAGCGGAGAUGUACUGAAGAUUUAUCGGAUGUACAUCUUAGCGGCGGACGGGUGAGUAACGCGUGGGCAACCUGCCUUCCACUGGGGGAUAACACAGGGAAACCUGUGCUAAUACCGCAUGACAUCACAUAGGGCAUCCUGUGUGAUCAAAGGAGUGAUCCGGUGGAAGAUGGGCCCGCGUCCGAUUAGCUAGUUGGUAAGGUAAAGGCUUACCAAGGCGACGACGGGUAGCCGGUCUGAGAGGAUGUACGGCCACACUGGGACUGAGAUACGGCCCAGACUCCUACGGGAGGCAGCAGUUGGGAAUCUUAGGCAAUGGACGAAAGUCUGACCUAGCGACGCCGCGUGAGGGAAGAAGGCCUUCGGGUUGUAAACCGUACUGUCAUGGGGAAGGAAGUAAGUGACGGUACCCAACGAGGAAGCCCCUGCUAACUACGUGCCAGCAGCCGCGGUAAACGAGUAGUACA
Molecule: ribosomal RNA, 503 nt
Filed under: uncultured bacterium
Lineage: Bacteria
Description: bacterial SSU rRNA
Rfam family: Bacterial small subunit ribosomal RNA
Source: RNAcentral